RNAcentral lists this unclassified non-coding RNA (437 nucleotides) under Cimex lectularius (bed bug). Its description in RNAcentral is "Eukaryotic small subunit ribosomal RNA". It matches the Rfam family "Eukaryotic small subunit ribosomal RNA", at positions 34 to 478 of the family's 1831-position model. Lineage: Eukaryota; Metazoa; Arthropoda; Insecta; Hemiptera; Cimicidae. The record is from Rfam by way of RNAcentral.
GUCUCAAAGCUUAAGCUGUACAAGUCUCAUACAGACUGCAUAAUAUAUUAAAGAGAAACCGCAAAAAUCUCAGCAAAUCACUUUUAGUUUACUACAGUUUCAUAACAUUUAUGUAUUCAUAACAAAUAACAUAAGUUUCAUUACAUAACUGUGGUAAUUCUAGAAGUAAUGCAUGCAACCAAGCGUGCCCAUUCGUGAACAGGGCGCUUUUAUUAGACCAAGACCAAUCUCUAGGCCAGUCCGGGUAAUACAGCAGAUAGCAUGAACUCUUCGGAGUGGCGAUUUAACAUUCAAAUGCCUGACUUAUAGACUCUGUGACUACCAUGACUGUAUUAAGGCUUAAAUCCGGGAGGAAGCCUAAGUAUCGCUACCAGAUACAAGGAAGGUAGCAGGCAUGCAAAUUGCCCACUCCCGGCACACGGAAGCCUUGAGGCGAA